This 3164-nucleotide long non-coding RNA is filed under the name Homo sapiens (human). RNAcentral's name for it is "non-protein coding lnc-C12orf75-1:3". Lineage: Eukaryota; Metazoa; Chordata; Mammalia; Primates; Hominidae. The record is from RNAcentral.
AAAUAUUUUUAGCUACUAAGCACACACUCUGGUCUGCUAUGUUUUGCCUUAUAAUUUUUUUUUUGUGCACAUUUUAGAUGCCUGCUUUUGGGUUUUGCAUUAUUCUGUGGUUUCCUGCCCACUUGCUCCGCCCUUUAAUUGCUCCACCAGCACUCAGUCUCCGCUGCCUGCCAAGGCUGGCUCCCCCUUUUCCUAAUAUCCCCGGCUCUCCCCAAGGGCCGUCCUUAAUCCAAAGUGCUCUCCAAUGCUUUGCAAAAUUGAACCCCCUCUGUUUAUCCUGCCCCCUCCCCUCAAUGUCCGUGGCAGUUAUCUCACUUGGGCUCCCAUUUCCUGCUCUUAUUCUUGGCUCCCUGCCAGUCAUCACACAUUCACAUGAAAUCCUGCCUCUCCUCACCGAAGGGAAAGGCUGUUUCCAUUCAUGGAAAGCUCAUUUGCCACAAAGAUGCUACACCCUUGCCACAGGCAGGGUGUUCUCGGGUUUCCUGACAUGCCCAGGGCAAGGUUGGAGGGCUCUGGUCCCAACAGUUAUUUACAGUGAAGGCAAGUCAGGUUAGAGAACAGUGUGGUCUUUGUGGUGCUGGGGAGAGAGCAUGGGCUGUCAAUUCUAACUGACCUGGAUUUUGGUCCAUGUACCAUUUCUUAGCCUCAAGUCAUUUAUCUGUGAAAUGAGAAUCAUCUUAUUCCCUACCUCACAGCAGUAUUGUGAGGCUCACGAACAGAAGACUCAACACAGAGCCUGGAGAAUGACAUUUGCUCCAUAACGUAUUCUAUUUUCUCCCCCUUUCAUUGAUUGCUAAGGCUUCCAGAUCAGCUAAAGUAUCAACAAGAAUGAAAAUGACACUUCAAAGGAUUUAAGUGAAGAGAGUGUCGUGAAGAUUAUUUGUAGAGAUGUGGGAUCAGAUGAGAAACACCCUGGGACCAGAAACAGCAGAAGCCCUAAUGCCUGCCAAAGGGCAAGACCAGGGUGAGCUCCUACCCACAGUAUCUGGCGAGAGCUGGAGCCCUGAGACAGGGAUGGGGCCUACUGGCACUUGGAAAGUGUACUGGGGUCUUAGUGAACUGAUGUCAUUUCCUCUUCUCUUCCCCAGGAUUUGAGAUUUCUAAAAACAACAACAACAACAACAACAACAACAACAAAACCCUAUACAAAUCUAAAUUAGUUAAAAAAAAAAAAACUAAAGUGGUUGGAUGGGAGCUAUGGCUUAGGAAGAGAAACACAGCCCAUCAAAGAGGGACUAGGGAUUUAAAUAACCCUCUCUUCUCUCUUCCUGUCCAUGCCUUCUGUUGGGUGAAACUAGCAGCCAGAAGGCAAGGGGGCCUGGGUGGAGAUGUCCAGUGGCAUUAGCCUCCCAGGUACAGAGAGAUGCAGAGAAAGAUGCAAAAUAGACCUGGAGUAGCUGAGAAUCAUCUUGUCAUUUGUCACCUAUUAGCCAGUUGCUUUGUCCAAGGCCUUGAGCCUCAGUUUUCUAUAGAGUGGGCAUCAAACUUGUCUACCUCUUGUCUGCCUCACAGGGCCAUGGGGAACAGCCAGUGAAAGUGUUAAAAUCAUUCGCUUGCCAUUUGACCCUCUUCUUCAUCUGCAUUAUCUCACUUAAUUCCUCAACAGCCGGGUAGGGUAUAAGGCAGAGAGGCCAGGGGACAAGGACAGGCAGGCACUUUGGAAUCAGAAGAAGAGGUCAUCAACUGUGGCUCAGCCAAGCUUUUUAACUGUGAGAUCAUGGGAAACUGAAGCUCUCUGAACCUCAGCUAUUGUCUUACUUUGAGCUCCCCCAAAAUCACAUCCUGAGACAAAUAUUUGAGUGCAAAUAGUUCAUUUGGGAGCUGAUCCCAGGAUGCACCAGGAGGGACUGGGCAGGGACUCAGAAAAGGGAAGAAACCCAAUUAUUGGUGUAUUCACAAGUGGGCAACUCGGUCUCAGUGCCACAACUGUGAUGAAGACUGUGCAGGACACAUCCUGGGGUUGGUGGAAUGCAGGGUGCGGGUGCUGGGGUGUUUAUUCACCACCUUCCAUCCCUCACUGGCUGAGGGUUGUUCUUGGAAGUUUUAACUCCCUGGCCAUUUCACACUGCCUGCUGUGGCCAGAGGAGACUCAAGCAGCCAGAGAGUGCCAUGGGGUGGAGACACACAGGAAGCCACAUAGAUGCCCUCCAGCAUGGGCCAGGAGGGAAUGUCUGGGGGACCGACAGCAUCCGUUUUGUUUUUCUAAUUUGUAUGCUAGAGAUGAUGUCUAUGUCACAGGACAGUGACAGAGAUGAAAUGAUUAAUGAUUAAAUGGCUAAAUGUCUUCCAAGUGCCUGGCUCAUAGUAGGUAUCCAAAGAAAAGGAGGCAUUCAUAGUAAAGAUGGGUAAAUAUUCAUGUGUUACAGAUGGAAGCAAAUGGGACUCAAAGAAGUUAAGACAUUUGCCCUAAAUCACACAGACAGUUCUUAAAUGGCCAAGUCAGAUCUGGCCCCAGUUUGUUCCCCUUCCACUCUGCCGUGGCUACCUCCUGUUAAUGGACUAUACAUUUAGAGUGCUUUUGCCUCAUAAAGUGUGUGAAGCUCCAUAAAUAUAAAAUGUUUGUAGUCCCAGCCUUGCUAGCUCAAAUCCAAGUUAAAUUGACUCUUGGGUAGUUCUUCUCUCAGCCCCAAUUCUCAUAAGCUCAAAUAUAUAUUUUCUUAGUCCCCUGGGAUCCUCCAUUCUGUGCCCCAACAAUCCCUAACCCUUCAUUAGUAAUGCCUAGAUGUCUCCACAUAUUUCAAGGGGUGCCAGAAAGUCUCCAGACAAAAUAAAAGAUGCCAUAAAACACCAAGUGCAUAAAACUCUAGACACCUUGUUCUCCAUGUCAUGUUUCCUUUUAAAAACAAAUAUUUUGAAAUGCCCUCUUUACUAUCCUGCUGAUACACACAUAAAAACUAAUAAAAUGCACAAACUCUUUUCUUAAAAAUUGUGGGAAGAUAUACAUAAUAAAAAAUUUACCAUUUUAACCACUUUCAAAGUGUAUGGUUUUGUGUUUUUUAGUACAUUCAUAUUGUUCUGCCACCAUCGCUACCAUCUAUCUCCAGAAAUUUUUUCAUCCUCCCAAACUGAAAACCUGCAUUCCUUAAACACUAAUUCCCCAUUCCCCUCUCCUUCCAGCCCUGCAACUACCAUUCUACUUUGUGUCUCUAUGAAUUUAACCAUUC